ACAACGAAGAGUUUGAUCCUGGCUCAGGAUGAACGCUAGCGACAGGCUUAACACAUGCAAGUCGAGGGGCAGCGAGGGGUAGCAAUACUCUGUCGGCGACCGGCGCACGGGUGAGUAACGCGUAUGCAACCUACCUAUCAGAGGGGAAUAACCCGGCGAAAGUCGGACUAAUACCGCAUAAAACAGGGG
Molecule: ribosomal RNA, 189 nt
Filed under: Parabacteroides faecis
Lineage: Bacteria; Pseudomonadati; Bacteroidota; Bacteroidia; Bacteroidales; Tannerellaceae
Description: partial 16S ribosomal RNA
Rfam family: Bacterial small subunit ribosomal RNA
Source: RNAcentral